CGUCACAGAUGUGGCACUGCUAACUGCUCAUCUGAGUGUUACAUUGGUAAAAGAAGAGUGGAUGGUUUGAAAGCCAUCCUGCAUCUCAUCCGAAGAGCAGAGGAGAGCAGCAGAACCACCACAGUAACAUCUCCACAGAGCAGCUCUGCAUGGGUCCCACUGCUGUCACCUGGGGUGGAUGCAGAGGAUCCUGAAGUGGAGGUGGCUCAAAGUGGGGCUCCAAGUUGCUCCAUUGUUACCACAGCCUCACAGCACUGCUACGGAAAAGCCACCAGGCUUAAAGAGGCCUUUGGAAAAAUCUGGCUCCUUCCACGAUGACUCAGAGAGGAGGAAACGCAAUCCCUGCUCCGUGUGCCACCCCCGGGACAGAGCAGUGCUGACACCAUCGCAGCCUUCGCCCAGAGAAGCCCUGGGAGGGUCAGGGCUGUUCCUUCCAGGUGUGAGGGUGGAGGAGAUACAGAGGUCACAGUGCCCCUCCUGCUGGCGCUGGGCACCAUCCAACAGAGCCCGGCCCCAUCCUCCCAACCCCUGCCUUACAGAUACCGACCAGAUCCCUUCUCACAGCCUUCUCCAUUGUGAGGAUGGAUUAUCCAGUGCCUACAAAGGCUGUGUGACUUUGUAUCGAGUGGGCACCCGGAUAAGGAGGGUUUGUUGAUGGACUUGGGGUGGCUUUGCUCCAAUGUUUACCUACAAAGCACAGUGCCCGGGCUCGGUGCUGUCAUUGGAUGGGUGCCCUGCGGUGGAUGUGCUGCUCCCUCCGCACACCAGAGCCGUCGGAGUCGCCAUCUGCAGGCAGCCCCACAAUGGAGAUGCAGGAGGAAGCACGGGUGGAGCACAGCUGGGUUGGAAGGGACCCCACAGCCUCUCGGCUCCCUUUGUCCCCUCCGACCCCCAGUCUGCAGGGGGAGGCUCAGAGCCGCUCCCCUUCCCCGGUGCUUCAAUGGCACAGAAGGGAGCGAGGUGGGAGCUCUGCGCAGAGCAGUUCCUGUAACCCCGUGCGGGGACCCAACGCAGCGCACACAAUGCGUGCUUUGUCCGCUUCUGUUCUCCCAGUGCCGUGAGUGCAAACACAGAACGCGUUAAUUACUGUCCAGCUCCCCAGGGUAAGGCCCAUAUGCCAACAACCGGAGCAAAGCACGGGAAGCGCCGCGAUCCUGAAGUGACGCUGAGCUGCAAUUACUUCUUGAUUUGCUCAUAGAAACACGCAGCCCUGUGCCCUUUGUGCUCGGAGCAGCACUGACCGUGGGGCUGUGCAGGAGAGAGCGAGGAAUGGCGGGGUGGAGCCCACUCGCCACGCAGGGCCGCUGUGAGCUGCUGGCAUUGUGCUCACGGCGUUGGCUUUGGGCACAGCGCUGUGCAGUGCUGCAUCCUCAGCUGCUCGCUGGGCGCCCGCAGUUGGUGCCGUGAUUUGGCGUUCACCCCGGCGAAGAAUGAGCUGCCUGAGGACAGCUGGCUGCGUGCUGCAGCAAACCGCCGACUGUCUGACACACGGACAGACGGACAGGCGGACAGCUGCUCGCCUCCACGUGGAUGGGGUGGGCACGGAGCUUUGGUUCAAGCGCUGCUCAACGUGGGGAUAACGAGGCCAAAAGGAGCGCUGCUGGAGCAACAAAGCAGGCCGGCCUUGUGCCCUGCGGUGGGGGAUGAGUGCAGCCCCGCGUCCCUCCCUGCGCCCGUGCAGGAGGUGAGGGGAGCCGGUGGUUGUGCAGGGGGGGCACUUUUCCUGCUGUGCCUCUGUGGGGUUCUGCACAUCGCCUGCAGCCUGGCCGGGGAUCCCGAAUAGCGCCGGAUGAGAGCGCUGCGUUUUCCACCCAGGCGCUGUGGUUUCUGCCCUUCUUUUAAUAGGUGCCCGUGGGCAGGUUCCUCCACAGCCUCACCCAGCCCUGCUUGGAGUUGUUCUGCCAAAGCCGGUCGGGUGCUUGCAGGCCUCACUCAGUGCUCUGCCUUCCUUCCCGAGCAGCUCCGGAGCCGGGGG
This 1975-nucleotide long non-coding RNA is filed under the name Gallus gallus (chicken). The record is from RNAcentral. Lineage: Eukaryota; Metazoa; Chordata; Aves; Galliformes; Phasianidae.